This 1403-nucleotide ribosomal RNA is filed under the name Lacticaseibacillus rhamnosus. RNAcentral's name for it is "bacterial SSU rRNA". It matches the Rfam family "Bacterial small subunit ribosomal RNA". The record is from RNAcentral. Lineage: Bacteria; Bacillati; Bacillota; Bacilli; Lactobacillales; Lactobacillaceae.
AGUUCUGAUUAUUGAAAGGUGCUUGCAUCUUGAUUUAAUUUUGAACGAGUGGCGGACGGGUGAGUAACACGUGGGUAACCUGCCCUUAAGUGGGGGAUAACAUUUGGAAACAGAUGCUAAUACCGCAUAAAUCCAAGAACCGCAUGGUUCUUGGCUGAAAGAUGGCGUAAGCUAUCGCUUUUGGAUGGACCCGCGGCGUAUUAGCUAGUUGGUGAGGUAACGGCUCACCAAGGCAAUGAUACGUAGCCGAACUGAGAGGUUGAUCGGCCACAUUGGGACUGAGACACGGCCCAAACUCCUACGGGAGGCAGCAGUAGGGAAUCUUCCACAAUGGACGCAAGUCUGAUGGAGCAACGCCGCGUGAGUGAAGAAGGCUUUCGGGUCGUAAAACUCUGUUGUUGGAGAAGAAUGGUCGGCAGAGUAACUGUUGUCGGCGUGACGGUAUCCAACCAGAAAGCCACGGCUAACUACGUGCCAGCAGCCGCGGUAAUACGUAGGUGGCAAGCGUUAUCCGGAUUUAUUGGGCGUAAAGCGAGCGCAGGCGGUUUUUUAAGUCUGAUGUGAAAGCCCUCGGCUUAACCGAGGAAGUGCAUCGGAAACUGGGAAACUUGAGUGCAGAAGAGGACAGUGGAACUCCAUGUGUAGCGGUGAAAUGCGUAGAUAUAUGGAAGAACACCAGUGGCGAAGGCGGCUGUCUGGUCUGUAACUGACGCUGAGGCUCGAAAGCAUGGGUAGCGAACAGGAUUAGAUACCCUGGUAGUCCAUGCCGUAAACGAUGAAUGCUAGGUGUUGGAGGGUUUCCGCCCUUCAGUGCCGCAGCUAACGCAUUAAGCAUUCCGCCUGGGGAGUACGACCGCAAGGUUGAAACUCAAAGGAAUUGACGGGGGCCCGCACAAGCGGUGGAGCAUGUGGUUUAAUUCGAAGCAACGCGAAGAACCUUACCAGGUCUUGACAUCUUUUGAUCACCUGAGAGAUCAGGUUUCCCCUUCGGGGGCAAAAUGACAGGUGGUGCAUGGUUGUCGUCAGCUCGUGUCGUGAGAUGUUGGGUUAAGUCCCGCAACGAGCGCAACCCUUAUGACUAGUUGCCAGCAUUUAGUUGGGCACUCUAGUAAGACUGCCGGUGACAAACCGGAGGAAGGUGGGGAUGACGUCAAAUCAUCAUGCCCCUUAUGACCUGGGCUACACACGUGCUACAAUGGAUGGUACAACGAGUUGCGAGACCGCGAGGUCAAGCUAAUCUCUUAAAGCCAUUCUCAGUUCGGACUGUAGGCUGCAACUCGCCUACACGAAGUCGGAAUCGCUAGUAAUCGCGGAUCAGCACGCCGCGGUGAAUACGUUCCCGGGCCUUGUACACACCGCCCGUCACACCAUGAGAGUUUGUAACACCCGAAGCCGGUGGCGUA